Molecule: ribosomal RNA, 31 nt
Filed under: Diaporthe sojae
Lineage: Eukaryota; Fungi; Ascomycota; Sordariomycetes; Diaporthales; Diaporthaceae
Description: partial 18S ribosomal RNA
Source: RNAcentral
CUCCGUAGGGGAACCUGCGGAGGGAUCAUUG